CCUACGGGAGGCAGCAGUGGGGAAUAUUGCACAAUGGGCGCAAGCCUGAUGCAGCCAUGCCGCGUGUGUGAAGAGGGCCUUCGGGUUGUAAAGCACUUUCAGCGGGGAGGAAGGCGUUAAGGUUAAUAACCUUGGCGAUUGACGUUACCCGCAGAAGAAGCACCGGCUAACUCCGUGCCAGCAGCCGCGGUAAUACGGAGGGUGCAAGCGUUAAUCGGAAUUACUGGGCGUAAAGCGCACGCAGGCGGUCUGUCAAGUCGGAUGUGAAAUCCCCGGGCCCAACCUGGGAACUGCAUUCGAAACUGGCAGGCUAGAGUCUUGUAGAGGGGGGUAGAAUUCCAGGUGUAGCGGUGAAAUGCGUAGAGAUCUGGAGGAAUACCGGUGGCGAAGGCGGCCCCCUGGACAAAGACUGACGCUCAGGUGCGAAAGCGUGGGGAGCAAACAGGAUUAGAUACCCCGGUAGUC
Molecule: ribosomal RNA, 465 nt
Filed under: uncultured Klebsiella sp.
Lineage: Bacteria; Pseudomonadati; Pseudomonadota; Gammaproteobacteria; Enterobacterales; Enterobacteriaceae
Description: bacterial SSU rRNA
Rfam family: Bacterial small subunit ribosomal RNA
Source: RNAcentral